Molecule: long non-coding RNA, 1101 nt
Filed under: Anolis carolinensis (green anole)
Lineage: Eukaryota; Metazoa; Chordata; Lepidosauria; Squamata; Anolidae
Description: lncRNA (ENSACAG00000045407.1)
Source: RNAcentral
CAGCUAAAAAAGCCAAUGGGAUUCUGGUCUGCAUAAAUAGGAAUCUAGUGUCUAGAUCCAGGGAAGUCAUGCUCCCCUCAAUUCAUGCUCCCCUCGACCUGCACUACCAUGUCCAAUUCUGAGCACCGCCAAUGAAGGUAGAUGUCAACAAGCUAGAAUGUUUCCAGAAGAGGGCAACUAAAAUUACCAAAGGUCUGGAGAACAAGCCUUAUGAGGAGCAGCUGAAAGAGCUGGGCAUAUUUAACUUUGGAAGAGAAGGUUGAGAGGAGACAUGAUGAGGGCCAUGGAUCAAGAUGUGAGGAAAAGUCCUAGGGAGGAGGGAAUAAACUUGUUUUCUGCUGCCUUGGAGACUAGGACGCAGAACAAUGGCUUCAAAUGACAGGAAAGGAGAUUUCAUCUGAACAUUACGAAGAACUUCCUAACUGUGAGAGCUGUUCAGAACUCUCUCAGAAGUGUGGUGGACAGAGGCGGUUCAACCGCGAGGUGAACCAGGCACUUGCCUGUGGCGCCAUUCUGUAGGGGGUGCAGUUGAGGCCCUCCCAGGUGCGGAUGCAUGCGUGCAUGCGUGUGCAUGCACCCCCCCCGCCUCCUCUCGGCUUUGGUUCGGGUCCGCUGGCCUUCAGGGCCUGUGGCCGCCUCCGGGGCCAGGCCCACACCUAUGGCAGGCAUCCUCAGAGGUUGUGAGGUCUAUUGGAAGCUAGAAGUAUUUUCUGAAGGAGAGGAAGCGAAGGAGAAAAAGAAACUAAAAGAGUGAGCGCACCCCACCCACCGACCCUCAGGCCCCAACUCCCAGAAAUCCCAGCCAUAUUACCAACUGUUAAGAACUGUGGGAGCUGAAGUCCAAAACACCUGGAGGCCCAAGGUUGGAAACCACUGCACUAAAUUUAAAAAAUCAGGAAAAUAAAUGAAAAUCAAAAAGAUUCAACUGUGAUGCAGAAUAGGGGUGAAGGAGCCAAGAUCAGUUCCCACUUGCUUUUGUAUCAGACACCUUUCGUAUUGAUUUGGAUUUGUAAUUUUAUGUCUAUUUUUAAUAGAAUUGUUUUGAUUCUGUCUUAUGAUGUUGUUUAUUAUAUUUAUGUUUAACUUCGUUGUAUGGUGUUU